This 71-nucleotide transfer RNA is filed under the name Rasbora arundinata. RNAcentral's name for it is "tRNA-Val". It matches the Rfam family "tRNA". Rfam says of the family: Transfer RNA (tRNA) molecules are approximately 80 nucleotides in length. Their secondary structure includes four short double-helical elements and three loops (D, anti-codon, and T loops). Further hydrogen bonds mediate the characteristic L-shaped molecular structure. tRNAs have two regions of fundamental functional importance: the anti-codon, which is responsible for specific mRNA codon recognition, and the 3' end, to which the tRNAs corresponding amino acid is attached (by aminoacyl-tRNA synthetases). tRNAs cope with the degeneracy of the genetic code in two manners: having more than one tRNA (with a specific anti-codon) for a particular amino acid; and 'wobble' base-pairing, i.e. permitting non-standard base-pairing at the 3rd anti-codon position. The record is from RNAcentral. Lineage: Eukaryota; Metazoa; Chordata; Actinopteri; Cypriniformes; Danionidae.
CAGAGUGUAGCUAAGUAGCCCAGCGUCCCACUUACACCGUGAAGAGAUCCGUGCAAAUCGGAUCACUCUGA